CUGAUCAUAUUGAUAUACAUAGGCCAUUUUUUAAGUUUAUUUCUCUAAGAUGAACUGAGAAAUUAAUGAGAAAGUGGCCAUUCAUGGACAAAGAAAUGGGACAUGGUUAUCAAAAACCUUGCACAACCUCAUCUGUCUUAUAGAGAGUUAGACAUUAAAAAGUGCCCAAAAUUUGAUUCGCUUUUAAUGGAUUAUUUGCCUCUAACUCUUAGAAGUUUUGUGAGUGGCCAAUGUAAGAAAUUUGGGGUGCCUAUUGGAUGAUGGGGAGAAUGUCCAUUUCGGCAGAACAUCUCUCCUUGAAUCUCUUAAAGUUAGUAACUGUGAAGCUCUGUAAUCAAUAUCAUCAAGCAGUAAGUUACCCAUUUGGCUUAAAUUGUUGAGUAUCAUGGAUUGCCCAAAGCUGGGAUUUGUAG
RNAcentral lists this long non-coding RNA (413 nucleotides) under Durio zibethinus. RNAcentral's name for it is "long non-coding RNA (DZIB_LNC000765)". The record is from RNAcentral. Lineage: Eukaryota; Viridiplantae; Streptophyta; Magnoliopsida; Malvales; Malvaceae.